RNAcentral lists this ribosomal RNA (773 nucleotides) under Candida tropicalis. Its description in RNAcentral is "LSU rRNA". It matches the Rfam family "Eukaryotic large subunit ribosomal RNA", at positions 137 to 931 of the family's 3401-position model. The record is from RNAcentral. Lineage: Eukaryota; Fungi; Ascomycota; Pichiomycetes; Serinales; Debaryomycetaceae.
UCCGAGUUGUAAUUUGAAGAAGGUAUCUUUGGGUCUGGCUCUGUCUAUGUUUCUUGGAACAGAACGUCACAGAGGGUGAGAAUCCCGUGCGAUGAGAUGAUCCAGGCCUAUGUAAAGUUCCUUCGAAGAGUCGAGUUGUUUGGGAAUGCAGCUCUAAGUGGGUGGUAAAUUCCAUCUAAAGCUAAAUAUUGGCGAGAGACCGAUAGCGAACAAGUACAGUGAUGGAAAGAUGAAAAGAACUUUGAAAAGAGAGUGAAAAAGUACGUGAAAUUGUUGAAAGGGAAGGGCUUGAGAUCAGACUUGGUAUUUUGUAUGUUACUUCUUCGGGGGUGGCCUCUACAGUUUAUCGGGCCAGCAUCAGUUUGGGCGGUAGGAGAAUUGCGUUGGAAUGUGGCACGGCUUCGGUUGUGUGUUAUAGCCUUCGUCGAUACUGCCAGCCUAGACUGAGGACUGCGGUUUAUACCUAGGAUGUUGGCAUAAUGAUCUUAAGUCGCCCGUCUUGAAACACGGACCAAGGAGUCUAACGUCUAUGCGAGUGUUUGGGUGUAAAACCCGUACGCGUAAUGAAAGUGAACGUAGGUGGGGGCCCGUAUGGGUGCACCAUCGACCGAUCCUGAUGUCUUCGGAUGGAUUUGAGUAAGAGCAUAGCUGUUGGGACCCGAAAGAUGGUGAACUAUGCCUGAAUAGGGUGAAGCCAGAGGAAACUCUGGUGGAGGCUCGUAGCGGUUCUGACGUGCAAAUCGAUCGUCGAAUUUGGGUAUAGGGCGAAAGAC